UACCGAUUUCUUUUUUAGAGCAUCCAUUUCUGUGGAUGUCCCUUCACAAUGAUCAAAUCAAAAAAUCUUCUUGGAUCCUUGGAACUCUGAUUCGUUUUGGAGGAUUUGAUGUUGAGUCCUGAAUCUCUUGGGUUUCUGUCAAAAGAAUGCCAAAACGGAAGUACAAAUUGUACUUGGAGCCUCACAGUACAAUCAACGCUGAGCUAAACUGAAAAGUGGACAUUUUGAUGUGGCAGAUGACUUCAAAAACAAAUCAGGGUCACACGUUGCAGAUGUUGAGCAGAUGGAUUGGGAUUCCCCAUUUGAAGGCACUGUUUUUCUGGAGUCCUUAAUAUAAGACGUUGGAACGAUUUCUUUAACUCCGUCGUCCAAGUAUUUAACAUAGGCAAACAUUUUUGCUUAAUUGAUCGUUUGAUGUGGUUGCCGUGUGGGUCAUCCAGAGCCCUAUAAUAGAAAUUCUACAUAAAGAAGCAGAUGCCACCCCACUCCCCGGAACGUUCCUUGCUCGCCUACACCAAGACCUGGACAACCCAGGUGGACUUGGGGCCUUUAGCAUUGCCGGAGAGGAUCAGGAGGGGACACGGAAUUCUGGAGCGCCCCCGAGAAGAGAUGUGGGCCAGAUUUGUCAGAGAUGUAAAUACAUCCCUUCUUACUUUUAAUUUCAAUAUUUGUUUUCCUUGAACUGAAACAUUUAUAAUAUGUCAUUCCAGGUCCUCAAACAUUACAUCUGCAUGUCUGCGGAUAGCAGUUAAUGGAUCAGCACCAGAGUAUAAUACAACAGUAACUGAUUGCAUUUUAUCGAAGUGCUUUGUUUUCAGGGUAGAUUUACUUUACCCGAGGGUGUCCAUUUCUGGCUAUUUCUGACAACUACUUCUGAGUAAAAUAUUGUACUAUUUAGUAUGCAGAACCUGCAUUCUUAAUGCAGCUAACGCGAGCUUGCAGCUAACGCUAGCAUGCCUCGAACGUUAGCUUGUUUAACUCAGCGGCCAAGUAUUUUGCUUGCCGCUGACUAGCUAAAUGGUUCUCCAACUAGCAAUUGCUAGUUGGAGAACCAUUACCUUAACGCUACCAUUUUAGCCAAAACUCAUAACAAAUGUAACUAGCAUAUCUUAGUUGGUCAU
Molecule: long non-coding RNA, 1121 nt
Organism: Gymnodraco acuticeps
Lineage: Eukaryota; Metazoa; Chordata; Actinopteri; Perciformes; Bathydraconidae
Exons: 5
Source: RefSeq, a predicted model, not a curated record